ACACAUAUUCCUAUUAUUCGUGCGAAGAUGACACGGAUGCUCAUCUUUCUGCUCUCCAUUGUUGUCACUGGACUUAUCCUGUUUACCGAUGUCAGUGAAGGUUUCAUAGCUUGCUGUUUUUGGAGAUGUGACAUUGAGCUACCCUGCCCUUGUAUAGACAGUGAGUUCCUGUGCCGUGUUGGUAAACUUUUUGGCAGUCAGGAACCAUAACAAAGCAAUUAUGGAAUACCAGAGCUGGUGUGUGUUGUUUGUUUCAUGGUCUUCAUGCAGCUAAGGUGUUCAGUAAAAGUCAGAAUUACAAAA
This is a long non-coding RNA of Ostrea edulis (European flat oyster), 303 nucleotides long. RefSeq lists it as uncharacterized. Lineage: Eukaryota; Metazoa; Mollusca; Bivalvia; Ostreida; Ostreidae. The record is from RefSeq and is a predicted model, not a curated record. The transcript has 3 exons.